This 460-nucleotide ribosomal RNA is filed under the name uncultured bacterium. RNAcentral's name for it is "partial 16S ribosomal RNA". It matches the Rfam family "Bacterial small subunit ribosomal RNA", at positions 338 to 795 of the family's 1533-position model. The record is from RNAcentral.
CCUACGGGAGGCAGCAGUGAGGAAUAUUGGUCAAUGGGCGCGAGCCUGAACCAGCCAAGUAGCGUGAAGGAUGACUGCCCUACGGAUUGUAAACUUCUUUUAUCAAGGAAUAAAGUUAGACACGGGUGCCUUUUUGUAUGUACUUUAUGAAUAAGGAUCGGCUAACUCCGUGCCAGCAGCCGCGGUCAUACGGAGGAUCCGAGCGUUAUCCGGAUUUAUUGGGUUUAAAGGGAGCGCAGAUGGGUUGUUAAGUCAGUUGUGAAAGUUUGCGGCUCAACCGGAAAAUUGCAAUUGAUACUGGCAGUCGUGAGUACAGUUGAGGUAGGCGGAAUUCGUGGUGUAGCGGUGAAAUGCUUAGAUAUCACGAAGAACUCCGAUUGCGAAGGCAGCUUACUAAACUGACACUGACACUGAUGCUCGAAAGUGUGGGUAUCAAACAGGAUUAGAUACCCGGGUAGUC